AUAUUUGUACCAGAAUAGGGUGUCUUUCAUAGAGACUUAAAAGGGAAGUUUGGUGAAAUACCAACGCGGUCCCGCCACUGUAAAUGGUUGUUGUCUGCAUAAAUCCACUGUGUUCACGCAUGGGAAGGAACAGACAAUGAUAGCCAUGAGCCAGGAGACCUGCCUCAUUCUGAUACGCCAU
RNAcentral lists this non-coding RNA (181 nucleotides) under Virgibacillus sp. Lineage: Bacteria; Bacillati; Bacillota; Bacilli; Caryophanales; Bacillaceae. The record is from RNAcentral. RNAcentral also lists the same sequence under 1 other name.